ACAGAUUUUAUAUUUUACGUUCUGCACUAAUAGAUGUCUGUUUUCAGAUUUUCAAAGUUCUGUGCCAUCUUUUGCUUAUCGACAAAUUUUCUUGUGUACUAAGUAAUGACGGUAAAAGGCUAGACCGGAGGACCAGGUAACGGCAACAAGGAUCAGUAGCGCGAAGGAUAUUAAUGCCAAUGGACUCGGCACGAGGAUCGAGUAACCGAUGCCACCGAGAUUAGAAAACACGUCCCAGCAUGCACUUCCAUUCUUCUCUUCGUGUGUUUGUGAACUCGACCUUGUUGUGAAUAUUCCUUCUGAAGUACAGCUGAUACCUACUGGAUGCACCACGUGUCACAUUGGUCCUUUGGUCACAACACAAGGAUGCAAAUAAACAUCAAUUUCUAGCGCAUCGAAUAAGGAAAUUAAUAAAACAAGGGCGAAGAGAGCCGACCGCUUCGCUCGGUGCAGAAGGUCAGUUUCUUGCAGGGUGUCGGAGGACGGCAACGCGAAGUCGGUG
This is a non-coding RNA of Linepithema humile (Argentine ant), 502 nucleotides long. Lineage: Eukaryota; Metazoa; Arthropoda; Insecta; Hymenoptera; Formicidae. The record is from RefSeq and is a predicted model, not a curated record.